RNAcentral lists this ribosomal RNA (1511 nucleotides) under Helicobacter pylori. Its description in RNAcentral is "bacterial SSU rRNA". It matches the Rfam family "Bacterial small subunit ribosomal RNA". The record is from RNAcentral. Lineage: Bacteria; Pseudomonadati; Campylobacterota; Epsilonproteobacteria; Campylobacterales; Helicobacteraceae.
UUUUAUGGAGAGUUUGAUCCUGGCUCAGAGUGAACGCUGGCGGCGUGCCUAAUACAUGCAAGUCGAACGAUGAAGCUUUCUAGCUUGCUAGAAUGCUGAUUAGUGGCGCACGGGUGAGUAACGCAUAGGUCAUGUGCCUUUUAGUUUGGGAUAGCCAUUGGAAACGAUGAUUAAUACCAGAUACUCCCUACGGGGGAAAGAUUUAUCGCUAAGAGAUCAGCCUAUGUCCUAUCAGCUUGUUGGUAAGGUAAUGGCUUACCAAGGCUAUGACGGGUAUCCGGCCUGAGAGGGUGAACGGACACACUGGAACUGAGACACGGUCCAGACUCCUACGGGAGGCAGCAGUAGGGAAUAUUGCUCAAUGGGGGAAACCCUGAAGCAGCAACGCCGCGUGGAGGAUGAAGGUUUUAGGAUUGUAAACUCCUUUUGUUAGAGAAGAUAAUGACGGUAUCUAACGAAUAAGCACCGGCUAACUCCGUGCCAGCAGCCGCGGUAAUACGGAGGGUGCAAGCGUUACUCGGAAUCACUGGGCGUAAAGAGCGCGUAGGCGGGAUAGUCAGUCAGGUGUGAAAUCCUAUGGCUUAACCAUAGAACUGCAUUUGAAACUACUAUUCUAGAGUGUGGGAGAGGUAGGUGGAAUUCUUGGUGUAGGGGUAAAAUCCGUAGAGAUCAAGAGGAAUACUCAUUGCGAAGGCGACCUACUGGAACAUUACUGACGCUGAUUGCGCGAAAGCGUGGGGAGCAAACAGGAUUAGAUACCCUGGUAGUCCACGCCCUAAACGAUGGAUGCUAGUUGUUGGAGGGCUUAGUCCCUCCAGUAAUGCAGCUAACGCAUUAAGCAUCCCGCCUGGGGAGUACGGUCGCAAGAUUAAAACUCAAAGGAAUAGACGGGGACCCGCACAAGCGGUGGAGCAUGUGGUUUAAUUCGAAGAUACACGAAGAACCUUACCUAGGCUUGACAUUGAGAGAAUCCGCUAGAAAUAGUGGAGUGUCUGGCUUGCCAGACCUUGAAAACAGGUGCUGCACGGCUGUCGUCAGCUCGUGUCGUGAGAUGUUGGGUUAAGUCCCGCAACGAGCGCAACCCCCUUUCUUAGUUGCUAACAGGUUAUGCUGAGAACUCUAAGGAUACUGCCUCCGUAAGGAGGAGGAAGGUGGGGACGACGUCAAGUCAUCAUGGCCCUUACGCCUAGGGCUACACACGUGCUACAAUGGGGUGCACAAAGAGAAGCAAUACUGCGAAGUGGAGCCAAUCUUCAAAACACCUCUCAGUUCGGAUUGUAGGCUGCAACUCGCCUGCAUGAAGCUGGAAUCGCUAGUAAUCGCAAAUCAGCCAUGUUGCGGUGAAUACGUUCCCGGGUCUUGUACUCACCGCCCGUCACACCAUGGGAGUUGUGUUUGCCUUAAGUCAGGAUGCUAAAUUGGCUACUGCCCACGGCACACACAGCGACUGGGGUGAAGUCGUAACAAGGUAACCGUAGGUGAACCUGCGGUUGGAUCACCUCCUUUCUAGA